This 430-nucleotide ribosomal RNA is filed under the name uncultured rumen bacterium. RNAcentral's name for it is "bacterial SSU rRNA". It matches the Rfam family "Bacterial small subunit ribosomal RNA", at positions 354 to 776 of the family's 1533-position model. The record is from RNAcentral.
GUGGGGAAUUUUGGACAAUGGGGGCAACCCUGAUCCAGCCAUGCCGCGUGAGUGAAGAAGGCCUUCGGGUUGUAAAGCUCUUUCGGACGGGAAGAAAACUGCCAUGAGAACAUUGUGGUGGGCUGACGGUACCGUAAGAAGAAGCACCGGCUAACUACGUGCCAGCAGCCGCGGUAAUACGUAGGGUGCGAGCGUUAAUCGGAAUUACUGGGCGUAAAGCGUGCGCAGGCGGUUUUGUAAGACAGAUGUGAAAUCCCCGGGCUCAACCUGGGAACUGCGUUUGUGACUGCAAGGCUAGAGUGCGACAGAGGGGGGUGGAAUUCCACGUGUAGCAGUGAAAUGCGUAGAGAUGUGGAGGAACACCGAUGGCGAAGGCAGCCCCCUGGGUCGUAACUGACGCUCAUGCACGAAAGCGUGGGGAGCAAACAGG